RNAcentral lists this ribosomal RNA (422 nucleotides) under uncultured bacterium. RNAcentral's name for it is "partial 16S ribosomal RNA". It matches the Rfam family "Bacterial small subunit ribosomal RNA", at positions 360 to 774 of the family's 1533-position model. The record is from RNAcentral.
AAUUUUGGACAAUGGGGGAAACCCUGAUCCAGCCAUCCCGCGUGUAUGAUGAAGGCCUUCGGGUUGUAAAGUACUUUUGGCAGAGAAGAAAAGGUACCUCCUAAUACGAGGUACUGCUGACGGUAUCUGCAGCAUACGCACCGGCUAACUACGGGCCAGCAGCCGCGGGAAUACGUAGGGUGCAAGCGUUACCCGGGAUUAAUGGGCGGAGAGCGUGUGUAGGCGGUUCGGAAAGAAAGGUGUGAAAUCCCAGGGCUCAACCUUGGAACUGCAUUUUUAACUGCCGAGCUAGAGUAUGUCAGAGGGGGGUAGAAUUCCACGUGUAGCAGUGAAAUGCGUAGAUAUGUGGAGGAAUACCGAUGGCGAAGGCAGCCCCCUGGGAUAAUACUGACGCUCAGACACGAAAGCGUGGGGAGCAAACA